CUCCAUCUGAGGUCAACUUAUGACCAAAGUUAACGCUAGAAUUUUGAAUGAUUAUAUUAUUAAAAU
Molecule: transfer RNA, 66 nt
Filed under: Schistosoma mansoni
Lineage: Eukaryota; Metazoa; Platyhelminthes; Trematoda; Strigeidida; Schistosomatidae
Source: RNAcentral